RNAcentral lists this ribosomal RNA (253 nucleotides) under uncultured bacterium. RNAcentral describes it as "partial 16S ribosomal RNA". It matches the Rfam family "Bacterial small subunit ribosomal RNA", at positions 524 to 776 of the family's 1533-position model. The record is from RNAcentral.
UACGAAGGGGGCUAGCGUUGUUCGGAUUUACUGGGCGUAAAGCGCGUGUAGGCGGGCCGUUAAGUUAGGGGUGAAAUCCCGGAGCUCAACUCCGGAACUGCCUCCAAAACUGGCGGCCUGGAGCAGAGGAGAGGCGAGUGGAAUUCCGAGUGUAGAGGUGAAAUUCGUAGAUAUUCGGAGGAACACCAGUGGCGAAGGCGACUCGCUGGACUCUUGCUGACGCUGAGACGCGAAAGCGUGGGGAGCAAACAGG